GGAUUAGAUACCCUGGUAGUCCACGCCGUAAACGAUGACAACUAGCCGUUGGGCCCCUUGAGGGUUUAGUGGCGCAGCUAACGCGAUAAGUUGUCCGCCUGGGGAGUACGGCCGCAAGGUUAAAACUCAAAUGAAUUGACGGGGGCCCGCACAAGCGGUGGAGCAUGUUGUUUAAUUCGAUGCAACGCGAAGAACCUUACCACCCCUUGACAUCCUCAGAACUUGUUAGAAAUAACUUGGUGCCUUCGGGAACUGAGUGACAGGUGCUGCAUGGCUGUCGUCAGCUCGUGCUG
Molecule: ribosomal RNA, 293 nt
Filed under: uncultured bacterium
Lineage: Bacteria
Description: partial 16S ribosomal RNA
Rfam family: Bacterial small subunit ribosomal RNA
Source: RNAcentral